UUCUCGUUCUCCGCUUUCUGCGUGUAGUUGAAGCUGUGAUCUCUCAGCCUCCCACUCCUGCCAUCCUGCCUGCUGCUUGGUGCCACGCCCACCAUGCUUUUUGUCGUGGCGUUUUAUCACAGCAACAGAAAAGCAACGAACAGGUCUUGUAGUAAUAGCCAGUGAGAACAAAUGCUGGGAGAAGAAGCGGCACACAACAUUGCUGAGUCUUUACUACGGACGCACGCCCCGCCCCCCUCCAUUGAUGAGAGUUUGGUUGAUGUGUGGAUAUAGGAUCUGAGCGUGUCCUCCCACUGCUGAGAAGAAUGUAGGGAGAGGCGGUGGAGCCCCAGAGCAGAAACAUCGAGAUUCCUCCACAUUCACUACUUCUACUAAAACAAAGUCAAUACUGUCAUGACUUGCUUUGAGAGUCAAGUAGAACUGUCACCCUCCUGGUCUGUGCACCCUCCAACAGCAACCACGGAACCGCUUGUACACAAUGCUCAAUUCUGAUUGGACAACACAAGCCACACGGCUGAGCCUCGCCUAAGAACGAAAAAGAGUUCGGAGGGAAGAUGAACGAGGACACAGAUAAUAAAGGUUUGUAGAACGUGCUAGACUGUUCUAGGAAGUCACUCCAAGAUUAAACAGACCUCCUACUGAGCUGGAAGCACCACGCAUGAACUUUGGCGAGAAGCUGAGAAACCCAGAGUUCAGAGAGGUCAAGUCACAGAAUCACAGCCACACAGGUGAAGGGCUCUGGGAAUGUCUGGCUUACGAAGAAGACUCCCUAAUAGAGAGCGAAAAUGCAGAGAUUGCUGUGUGCUCCCUGCCUGGCUAAUUACAAUGCAAUCGAGCACCUUCAACCUCAAAUCCAAAUGACUCCAGGAUCCAACGUAACCAAACCCCAGUAAUAAAUCACAAGUGGAAAUGUG
Molecule: long non-coding RNA, 914 nt
Organism: Mesocricetus auratus (golden hamster)
Lineage: Eukaryota; Metazoa; Chordata; Mammalia; Rodentia; Cricetidae
Exons: 4
Source: RefSeq, a predicted model, not a curated record